CUAAUUCACAACUACAUUGUGAAGGAUAGCCAGCUUAUUAUUCAAACUCUUUCAAUCAUGAUAUAUCUUUACCUUGUUGUUUUUAAACUUGCUGGGCAACUUUCAUGCUCACCCUUGCUAUAUCAUGAUAAAACAUUGCAGAUAAGGCGAAUACGGCCAGAUACAGAAAAAGGAUAAUGCCAAGUUCAGCUUGGUACAAAAUGUGAAGUUAAGUUGUAAAGUAUGUUGAAGAAUAGUAUUGUCAUGUGCUAGAUAGUUCAUGAUUGUGUAUAAGUGAAGGUUACUCGAUUUU
RNAcentral lists this long non-coding RNA (292 nucleotides) under Panax ginseng (ginseng). RNAcentral's name for it is "long non-coding RNA (PGIN_LNC008498)". The record is from RNAcentral. Lineage: Eukaryota; Viridiplantae; Streptophyta; Magnoliopsida; Apiales; Araliaceae.